Molecule: long non-coding RNA, 1183 nt
Filed under: Homo sapiens (human)
Lineage: Eukaryota; Metazoa; Chordata; Mammalia; Primates; Hominidae
Description: HSALNT0347093
Source: RNAcentral
UCACUAGAAUGAAAAUAAAUGUAUACAAAAGUGAAUAAACCCAUAAUAGCAAGAUAAUAGGAGUAAGGGCCAACAGUGAACUAAGGCUAUUAAUACAAUUCUGGCAGACAAAAAGCAGAUGUGUGUGGUGACAAGGGAGACAAAGCAGAAAUAACUACAAGCCAGAAUAACAGAGACUCUGUUUAAAAAGCCAUAUCUGGGGCAAUUUUCUGGGGGCUCCAGGAAGAGGCGCCGCAUAGCGUCAGCAAGGACUCAAAAGGAGCACUUCCCAGUGAAGCAAAAGAGUGGCGUAAUAAUUGGAGAACCCUCACGACGUGUCAGCCCCACCACGGCCCCAUAAAUGUAGCAUGAGUGCGAGCUUGAAAUUUGUAACAUGAGAUGAAAACUGGAGAAGCAUCCCUAAAAUAUAUGAACCAAUCUGCCUAGAAAUAGCUAGGAAUCUGAAGACACUUCGCACUGUUAUGCACCAGGAGGAUUGACUGUCUCUGUGGCUUGGAGGCAGUUAUACGUAGCAGCAGCAGCAGCAGCAGCAGCAAAAGUUAACAGGAGCCGGAGUCUGUCUUCAAAGAGCAGUCAGUAGAGAUGAAGAGUAGAUUACUGAUUCCAUAGUACAUGUCAGAUACUGCCUAGGGACUUCCUAAGUAGAGGUCAAGGUCCCACUGUUAUACAGUGUAUAAAUUCACAGAAGUCAGAAGCUGAAUGCAGUCACAAAGAGAGCAAAGCACUUUGUAAAGUGAACUCAAUACCCCCGUUGGGGCUCAGAAAACAGUACCCCAAAGUGAAGUCCUCAGAAGCAGCCCCAAAAGUAAAGUCUCUGACCUUCUCCUACCCUCCCAUCCUCUCUCCCUUCCUUCUCCACUGAGGCAAGAUAGAAACUAAAAUUCCUCUUCCCCAAGGAACCCCGCCUUUUUGUGUAACAGUUGGCCAUAAAGAAAUUAAGACCUUCAUUCCAGAGAGUCCUAUUGCAUGCCUGAGAGGGAGGAAGGCUGCACAGAGACGCCAAGAAGCUGGACAGUCCUUGCUGGGUUUCCCCACUCAGUCUUUAAGCAUUCGAUCAUACCCCUUCUGUCCAGUUGUAUUUUACAUGGCUGUCCAUACAUCAUUGAAUGUCAGUGUAAAAAUGGAUUGUUUUCCCUGUAUCUUUGGGUCUUUAUUCUGAAGUCUCUUUUAAAACUAUGAUCAA